AACUUGUCCUGUGAGUGAGGUGAACUGGACCCUGACCUCCACCACUCUUACUUUCAGAGCUCUGAGCACGUCUGGAGCAGAUCCUAAUUUGCAAGGCUGGCAAAGGAACAGAGGUCUCUCCUGCCUACUGCCAGCCCCACCCACAGGAUCUCACUGGAGAGCUCCCUGCAGCUGCUCAGGGCAUUUACACCCUCUCAUCCCCGGCAGCAAGAGGAAAACCAUUAGGAAGCCAACAGUAUAAAAGGGGAAAGAUGAGUGGCUGGAGGAAAGGUGGGAACUGAUAGAGUCAAGCGCCUGUCUUCUCACAGGGUUGGUACACUUGGGGUGGAACCAGGAAGACAGGACCAGAGGUGAUCCUGGUUCACAUAUCCUUGGGACAUUGCAAUUUAGGGAGAAGUGCCUAUGAGCUGGU
Molecule: long non-coding RNA, 412 nt
Filed under: Rattus norvegicus (Norway rat)
Lineage: Eukaryota; Metazoa; Chordata; Mammalia; Rodentia; Muridae
Description: long non-coding RNA NONRATT032018
Source: RNAcentral